CUUGACCAGUCAUUUCAAGCUCUCGGUUCCCCUACAUUUAUCAGGAAUCGGUUCAGCAGAGCAGUUCGUAGUACCACCCUGCAUUUUCACGUGUUGGGAGACAGCAUGUGUGUCACUUCCAGUGUCUGUGACGUGUGUGUGCGGUGGUCAGAUAUCCAAACUGAGGAAGAGUGUUGCUGGAUUUGGGAACAACUCCACAUUCAAAGAGGGGUUGAAGAGUUUCUUUUUGUCUGCCUGAAAUAUACUAUGCUUACCAGUCAUGAGAUGAUGGUUCUUGGAAAAGCUUACCAGCUCCUGCUGGGACAAUAUCCAUUAAACAAGAAGAGGGAGAAACACACAAAGAGAAGGAUAAUUUUGAAGUUUCAUUUCUGCCAUCUUCCCUGUCAGGAAGAGGAAAUGAAAUUGGAGGUCACAGUUAGCAGAAUCUGUAAAAGAUGAGAGAGCGAGGCAGCAGCUGCACAGAACUUAAAGCAGGCAGCGCGGUGGAUGUUAGGCAGCUACAGGCACAAAACUGCAUCAGCUUCCCCCACUGCAAAGCCCAGCCUCCAGGCAGUGAUGCAACAGAGACGAUGUGUAUGGGAUGGCAACAUUGCAAGGCCCCUGCUAAAAUCAAGAUAGUCUUUGGUACAGGAGUUUUGCAGUUCUCUCUCUCCAAGGGCAGUCCUCUAAACACGGUAAAUGGACCAAUACUACAGCUGCAGCUAGAGGAGAUUAUUACACCUACAUGCCUCUCUUCCUUGAAGUGUCUGACCUUCACAAGCCAGAACACAAAGCCAUCAGUCUGACACCAGCUGAAGGUGGCUUCAGGCAUGGCUUCAGCAUUUUGGCUCUGGAUGUGUUUUAACAUCACUCUGGAAGGACCAGGGGAUACAAGGGUUUA
Long non-coding RNA from Oxyura jamaicensis (ruddy duck), 880 nucleotides. RefSeq lists it as uncharacterized. The transcript has 3 exons. NCBI's taxonomy places the organism in Eukaryota, Metazoa, Chordata, Aves, Anseriformes, Anatidae. The record is from RefSeq and is a predicted model, not a curated record.